This 22-nucleotide unclassified non-coding RNA is filed under the name Mus musculus (house mouse). RNAcentral's name for it is "oocyte_clustered_small_RNA13". The record is from RNAcentral. Lineage: Eukaryota; Metazoa; Chordata; Mammalia; Rodentia; Muridae.
AGUGCAGAAGUCAGAUGUGUCG